This 301-nucleotide ribosomal RNA is filed under the name uncultured bacterium. RNAcentral's name for it is "partial 16S ribosomal RNA". It matches the Rfam family "Bacterial small subunit ribosomal RNA", at positions 509 to 807 of the family's 1533-position model. The record is from RNAcentral.
CAGCAGCCGCGGGAAUACGAAGGGUGCAAGCGUUAAUCGGAAUUACUGGGCGUAAAGCGUGCGUAGGCGGUGAGUUAAGUCUGCUGUGAAAUCCCCGGGCUUAACCUGGGAGCUGCAUUUGUGACUGGCGGGCUAGAGUAUGGCAGAGGGGGGUAGAAUUCCACGUGUAGCAGUGAAAUGCGUAGAGAUGUGGAGGAAUACCGAUGGCGAAGGCAGCCCCCUGGGCCAAUACUGACGCUCAUGCACGAAAGCGUGGGGAGCAAACAGGAUUAGAUACCCCCGUAGUCCCUGUCUCUUAUAC